CCCUGCCCUUUGUACACACCGCCCGUCGCUACUACCGAUUGAAUGGCUUAGUGAGACCUCCGGAUUGGCUUGUGGACGGCGGCAACGCUGACUACUUGCUGAAAAGCUGGUCAAACUUGGUCAUUUAGAGGAAG
RNAcentral lists this ribosomal RNA (134 nucleotides) under uncultured eukaryote. RNAcentral describes it as "partial small subunit ribosomal RNA". It matches the Rfam family "Eukaryotic small subunit ribosomal RNA", at positions 1651 to 1782 of the family's 1831-position model. The record is from RNAcentral.